This 936-nucleotide ribosomal RNA is filed under the name uncultured bacterium. RNAcentral's name for it is "bacterial SSU rRNA". It matches the Rfam family "Bacterial small subunit ribosomal RNA", at positions 555 to 1503 of the family's 1533-position model. The record is from RNAcentral.
UGGGCGUAAAGCGCGCGUAGGCGGCUAUUCAAGUCAGGGGUGAAAUCCUUGGGCUCAACCCAAGAAUUGCCUUUGAAACUGUAUAGCUAGAGUGUCGGAGGGGAUAGCGGAAUUGCUAAUGUAGAGGUGAAAUUCGUAGAUAUUAGCAGGAACACCGGUGGCGAAGGCGGCUAUCUGGACGACAACUGACGCUGAGGCGCGAAAGCGUGGGGAUCAAACAGGAUUAGAUACCCUGGUAGUCCACGCUGUAAACGAUGGAUGCUAGCUGUUGGGGGGUUACCUCUCAGUAGCGUAGCUAACGCGUUAAGCAUCCCGCCUGGGGAGUACGGUCGCAAGAUUAAAACUCAAAGAAAUUGACGGGGACCCGCACAAGCGGUGGAACAUGUGGUUUAAUUCGAGGCAACGCGAAGAACCUUACCAGGAUUCGACAUGCCCUCUAUGGACUCCCGAAAAGGAGUCCUUCACUUCGGGUGGGAGGAGCACAGGUGCUGCAUGGCUGUCGUCAGCUCGUGUCGUGAGAUGUUGGGUUAAGUCCCGCAACGAGCGCAACCCUCGUCCUCUGUUGCUAACAGGUUAAGCUGAGCACUCUGAGGAAACUGCCGGUGAUAAGCCGGAGGAAGGUGGGGAUGACGUCAAGUCCUCAUGGCCCUUACAUCCUGGGCUACACACGUGUUACAAUGGCAGUGACAAUGGGUCGCGAUCGCGCAAGCGCUAGCCAAUCCCAAAAAGCUGCCUCAGUUCGGAUUGCACUCUGCAACUCGAGUGCAUGAAGCUGGAAUCGCUAGUAAUCGUGGAUCAGCACGCCACGGUGAAUACGUUCCCGGGUCUUGUACACACCGCCCGUCACACCAUGGAAGUCGGUUCUGCCUUAAGCCGCCCUUAAAAGCGUCCACGGCAGGGUCGAUGACUGGGGUGAAGUCGUAACAAGGUAGCCGU